CUUAUGACCCGUGGCUUCGCCCCCAGCCUGCCCGUCGAGUUCCCCAAGAUGGGCUCCUUCCGCAGGCCCAGACCGCGCUUCAUGAGCUCCCCGGCGCUCAGCGACCUGCCCCGCUUCCAGGCAGCCCGCCAGGCUCGGCAGCUGAGUUCCAACUCCGCUUGGAACAGCGUCCAGACUGCCGUGAUCAACGUCUUUAAAGGGGGCGGCUUGCAGAGCAAUGAGCUCUAUGCACUGAAUGAAAGCAUCAGGCGGCUGCUGAAGAGUGAACUUGGAUCAUUCAUUACAGACUAUUUCCAGAACCAGCUUCUAGCAAAAGGACUGCUGUUCGUGGAGGAGAAGAUCAAGCUGUGUGAAGGUGAAAAUCGCAUUGAGGUUCUGGCUGAAGUCUGGGACCACUUCUUCACUGAGACUCUCCCCACCCUGCAGGCCAUAUUCUAUCCAGUUCAGGGCCAGGAGCUGACCAUCCGCCAGAUUUCCCUGCUGGGCUUCCGCGACCUGGUGCUGCUGAAGGUGAAGCUGGAGGACUUGCUGCUGCUGGCGCAGCCCCAGCUGCCCUCGUCCAUCGUCCAGAUGUUGCUCGUCCUGCAGAGUGUUCACGAGCCCACAGGCCCAAGUGAGGGUUAUUUGCAGCUGGAGGAGCUGGUGAAGCAGGUGGUUUCUCCCUUCCUUGCCAUCAGCGAGGACCGUGGCCUCUCAGGCCCCACGUACGCAUUGGUGUUAAUUUUCCUGUAUCUGAUACCAAAAACCAUGCCUGACUGCAGCCCACCCCCUCAUGACUGGAAGAACCCCCAGUGAUGAAUUUCCUUUUGAGAAUGGAUGAAAACGUGAGGCCAGCUUACCGGGUGUGUGGCUGGAGAUCAGCUGCUGGCUGCCCACUGCAUUCCUACAGAGCUGAGCUUCAAAGAAAAGAGGGGAGGAGCAGCCUCCAGCAAGCUUCCCGCCCCUUCCCGGGCCUCCCGUCUGCAGAAGAAAGCAGGGCUUGCCGCAGUUUUUAGGGCCCCUUCAUGUUUCUCUGGAGACACCGGUUUAACCACAGUCACCACAAAUCUGAGGGUGCUGGCCCCAGUCUUCUGCCUGCCUGGUCCUCCACCCUCCCUCCCUCCCUCCCUCCUUCCCUGAUUCCACCCAGGAGCUGGCAAAAGCCGGCUAAAGGAAAACAGUACCCUACCCUCCCUGUGAGGAGGGCUGGGCGCCACCUUCCUGCACUGGGCAGGCCAGCUGGCCCCUGAGUUUGGGGUGGGAGGAUCCAGAGAGAUGUCAACAUGCCAGCGGGUUAGCCGGGCCAUGGCAGGGACCCCACCAUCUGCUGGACCAGGAGCCGGGAACACGAGUAGAUUUGGAAGUUUGUUCAGUGAGGACUCAGUCUAAGAGGGGAUGCCUUCAACUUUUCAGCUAUAAUAAGACUAAUAUAUACUGUCAUCAAAUUGUAAUCAAAGGCCUGAGGUUUUAUUCUUGUGCCAAGGACGGUCCUUGUCUCUGGGCGUUGUCACAGUAGAGCCCAAGAGGGGAGGAAAUGAUGUUCUUUUGAUUACUUUUUUUAUUAUAUUAUUAUUUCAACAAAUGUGUACUUAGAAGAGCCUGUCCUUGGCAUCUUGUGAGGUGCUGCAGGUGAUAUCUGUGACAAAACCGACCCACCCCUGCCCUCUGGCACAGGGACCAAUGAGGAAGUCACAAACACGAGAUGAUGACUCAUCAGAGUACAAGUGCUCCCAGAGGGGAGUCCAGGGCCCACAGCAGAGGACUGCACCUGGACUGGGCAGUCAGGGAAGACACCCUGGAGGAGGUGAUCCCUGCAAAGGGGCCCGGAGGAUGGAUACAAGUUGGCUGAGAAUCAAUGGGGAGGGAACAUUGACCAGGCAAAGGGAAAGAUCUCUGGGAGGCUUUUGCGGUUAUGGGGAGGCAGGUGGGGAGCAGGAGGGUGCAUCGUUUGAGGAACUGAGAGAGCUUUAGAGUUGCAGAGUGGCUGAUGGCAGGGGAAGCCCUGGGACAUGGACCACAGGCUGGGCACUGUGCAGGCUGGGCUGGAUAACAUGUUCCCAUUCACAGGUGAGGCAAACGGAGGUCAAGGUCGCUUGGCUGUUGGACACAGGCUUUCAAAGCCCCCAGCUCUUUGCCCUUGGCCAACUGUUCUCCCGCACUCCACUCGCUCCCCACCUGCCCUGUCAGCUCCAAGAGGUGACGGAUGGCGCUGGGGAACCGCGGAGAAGCUGGUCCUUCCUUCUCAGUUGUCGACUGAAAAAAAUGUACACCCUAAAAACUGAGAAUUAUGUUUUAGUCAAUGGACAACCUAAGUACUUAAGCACAGAAGACAGCCUGUCAGAUUGCUCUGGAGGACUGUUCCAAAGAGGGGAGGGGGAGGCUCGGAUAUAUAGAAGUUUUUGCAAAAAAGACCAGGUAGUUGGAAUAUUGUUAUUCCAACGAGAGAAUCCUAUCAAUUAGAGAAAAAUAGAUAUCGCAAGUUCGUGAAUUUAGCGCUUUUCUACAUAUGGGAAGAUGCGAGUCUGGGCUCAUUGAAAUCACGCCUUUUUAAAAAAAACUUUUAUAUUGGAGUAUAUUU
Molecule: non-coding RNA, 2557 nt
Organism: Odocoileus virginianus texanus
Lineage: Eukaryota; Metazoa; Chordata; Mammalia; Artiodactyla; Cervidae
Source: RefSeq, a predicted model, not a curated record